This 503-nucleotide ribosomal RNA is filed under the name uncultured Eubacteriales bacterium. RNAcentral's name for it is "uncultured Clostridiales bacterium partial 16S ribosomal RNA". Lineage: Bacteria; Bacillati; Bacillota; Clostridia; Eubacteriales. The record is from RNAcentral.
CACGUAUUUAGCCGGAGCUUCUUUUUCAGGUACCGUCACUUUCUUCCCUGCUGAUAGAGCUUUACAUAACGAAUUACUUCUUCACUCACGCGGCGUCGCUGCAUCAGAGUUCCCUCCAUUGUGCAAUAUUCUCCACUGCUGCCUCCCGUAGGAGUCUGGGCCGUGUCUCAGUCCCAAUGUGGCCGUCCACCCUCUCAGGCCGGCUACUGAUCGUUGCCUUGGUAAGCCUUUACCUUUCCAACUAGCUAAUCAGACGCGGGUCCAUCUCAUACCAGAUUUCUCCUUUUCACACAAAUACAUGCGUCUUCGUGCGCUUAUGCGGUUUUACCACCAGUUUCCCCGAUGCUAUCCCCCUGUACUGAGGCAGGUUGCCCACGCGUUACUCACCCGUCCGCCACUAAGUUAUUUCUUUCCAUCUCCGUAAGAUUUCCAACAAACACUCCGUUCGACUUUGCAUGUGUUAAGCACGCCGCCAGCGUUCAUCCUGAGCCAGGAUCAAACUC